GCUUGAUGUCUAAAGCAAUGUAUUCCGGGUUUGCAUUGACAUCAGCAUCCCACUAGCUCAACUGCUAGUUACGACCUAUCCACAAAUAAAUUUGGAGGAAUAAAGAUAUUUGCGUAGAGAUUUUGGACAUGAUAAUUCUGGAAAUUGUGGGAGGUGAAAUGGUGGAUAGGAGCAUGUAGCUUAAAGUUAGAUGUUGCCAAGAACAACAGGUAGCCUGAUGCCUAGAGCAAUGUAUUAUGGGGUUGUGUUAAUGUCAGCAUCCUACUUGCUCAAUUGUUAGGCCAUUUCCGUGUUAGCAAGAGUUUGAAUUGGUAGCCAUGUCACUGUUUAACCAGACAAGAAACUCCUAUUGCUUGUAU
This 359-nucleotide unclassified non-coding RNA is filed under the name Hevea brasiliensis (rubber tree). Lineage: Eukaryota; Viridiplantae; Streptophyta; Magnoliopsida; Malpighiales; Euphorbiaceae. The record is from RNAcentral.